Molecule: transfer RNA, 85 nt
Filed under: Lysobacteraceae bacterium
Lineage: Bacteria; Pseudomonadati; Pseudomonadota; Gammaproteobacteria; Lysobacterales; Lysobacteraceae
Also listed under: 1 other name
Description: Xanthomonadaceae bacterium tRNA-Leu
Rfam family: tRNA
About the family: Transfer RNA (tRNA) molecules are approximately 80 nucleotides in length.
Source: RNAcentral
GCCCAGAUGGUGGAAUUGGUAGACACGCUAUCUUGAGGGGGUAGUGGCGAAAGCUGUGUGGGUUCGAGUCCCACUCUGGGCACCA